CUGGGUGUAGCUCAGUGGCCAGAGUUCUCGGUUUGGAACCGAGGUGCCGAAAGUUCGAAUCUUUCCACCCAGACCA
Molecule: transfer RNA, 76 nt
Filed under: marine sediment metagenome
Description: tRNA-Pro
Rfam family: tRNA
About the family: Transfer RNA (tRNA) molecules are approximately 80 nucleotides in length. Their secondary structure includes four short double-helical elements and three loops (D, anti-codon, and T loops).
Source: RNAcentral